CUUUGUGUAUAUAUCUUCCUGGUUUGAAAUGAUUACCUGCUCUACCUGAUAUAAACACAGGUUUGUUCUAUUUACAAAAAUAAACUUCUCAAAGAUAGUAAAUCCAUGGAAAAAAUGGAAGACAAUGACAACAAGAAAACGCAUAUGGUAUCUGCCCGACGGUUAACAAUCACAGAAGGAAAGGAUAAAAGAAUAUGAUAAUUUCUGUUCAACAUCUGAGCAGAAGAGGAUUGGCAGAGUCCGUAUGUUUGUGCAGAUACCGUAGGAUCAUAUACAAGAAACCACCGAGAAAGAGUUGAACUACUUGAAUUAGGUUGGAACUGGUUUGGUUGGAGAGCGUUUACAUCAGCUUGGAUUCCGGACUUUUGAUGGAUAGAUCCAUCACAAGGCAUGCUGCCUUUGGCGGAAAAAAGCACAUAUAUCGUAACCUAUACUGUCAAUUGUUUACAUCGGAAUCUACAAAUAUUAAAGAAGGUGAGCAAUGUUUUAAAGAUAAGUUACGAGCUUGUAACUAUUUUGUUUUGCAAUGGAAGUCAUAUCAUAACUGUAUAAGUGAAUCUGCAAAGAAUUGAAAAGGCGUCAGCAGAAAAGAUAAAUACAUAUCAAAGCCUUCAAGACUGUUGAAUGUGACAAGAUUCAAAUGAUGCCAUGUUAGCGAUGUUCAAAAGAUUUAAUUCAUUGUAUAAAAACAGCAAUACAAGCGCUUAUUGUGUGUUUUUGUUCUGCAUGUGCUGAGUUUACGUCAUGGAUGGA
Long non-coding RNA from Mytilus californianus (California mussel), 753 nucleotides. RefSeq lists it as uncharacterized. The record is from RefSeq and is a predicted model, not a curated record. NCBI's taxonomy places the organism in Eukaryota, Metazoa, Mollusca, Bivalvia, Mytilida, Mytilidae. The transcript has 4 exons.